Molecule: ribosomal RNA, 253 nt
Filed under: uncultured bacterium
Lineage: Bacteria
Description: partial 16S ribosomal RNA
Rfam family: Bacterial small subunit ribosomal RNA
Source: RNAcentral
UACGAAGGGGGCUAGCGUUGUUCGGAAUUACUGGGCGUAAAGCGCGCGUAGGCGGAUCAGAAAGUUGGGGGUGAAAUCCCGGGGCUCAACCUCGGAACUGCCUCCAAAACUCCUGGUCUUGAGUUCGAGAGAGGUGAGUGGAAUUCCGAGUGUAGAGGUGAAAUUCGUAGAUAUUCGGAGGAACACCAGUGGCGAAGGCGGCUCACUGGCUCGAUACUGACGCUGAGGUGAGAAAGUGUGGGGAGCAAACAGG